GCUUUAACCAACCGCCAUGCUCUUUCAUUUUUGCAGUCAUCCAUUUCAUAUCCGGUGAAGAUUUGGCCAUCCAGGCAUUCUUCUUUUUGGAAUCUUGAAUUCACACUUCAUGAGCUUUCUCUAGGUUCCAUGAUCAAGCUUUUCUCCUACUUUAAGCAAUCAUUGUGCUCAUUUGAUUUUUCACUUCAUCCAUUUCAUCUCAAGGAAAAUCUGAUGGGGUGGUUGGUGUUGAAGAAGAUGAUUUAUCUUCAAGUUCAGAUUCUGUGGAUGACUUUUCAACAUAGGUUAUUAUCUUCUUUAAUCUAUUUGAUGGGGAUCAAGAAUUAAUUCUUUGGUGAUUUUAAUUAUGUAAUAUUUGCUUCUU
Long non-coding RNA from Dioscorea cayenensis subsp. rotundata (Guinea yam), 364 nucleotides. RefSeq lists it as uncharacterized. The record is from RefSeq and is a predicted model, not a curated record. Lineage: Eukaryota; Viridiplantae; Streptophyta; Magnoliopsida; Dioscoreales; Dioscoreaceae. The transcript has 4 exons.